CAUUAUACCGCGAAACUGCGAAUGGCUCAUUAUAUAAGUUAUCGUUUAUUUGAUAGCACAUCACUACAUGGAUAACUGUGGUAAUUCUAGAGCUAAUACAUGCUAAAAAUCCCGACUUCGGAAGGGAUGUAUUUAUUAGAUUAAAAGCCAACGCCCUUCGGGGCUUCCUGGUGAUUCAUAAUAACUUUUCGAAUCGCAUGGCCUUGCGCCGGCGAUGGUUCAUUCAAAUUUCUUCCCUAUCAACUUUCGAUGCGAAGGUCUUGUCUUCGCAUGGUUGCAACGGGUAACGGAGGGUUAGGGCUCGACCCCGGAGAAGGAGCCUGAGAAACGGCUACUACAUCCAAGGAAGGCAGCAGGCGCGCAAAUUACCCAAUCCCGACACGGGGAGGUAGUGACAAUAAAUACUGAUACAGGGCUCUUUUGGGUCUUGUAAUCGGAAUGAGUACAAUUUAAAUCUCUUAACGAGGAACAAUUGGAGGGCAAGUCUGGUGCCAGCAGCCGCGGUAAUUCCAGCUCCAAUAGCGUAUAUUAAAGUUGUUGUGGUUAAAAAGCUCGUAGUUGAACCUUGGGCCUGGCUGGCCGGUCCCCCUCACCGGGUGCACUGAUCCAGCCGGGCCUUUCCCUCUGUGGAACCCCAUGGCCUUCACUGGCUGUGGCGGGGAAACAGGACUUUUACUUUGAAAAAAUUAGAGUGCUCCAGGCAGGCCUAUGCUCGAAUACAUUAGCAUGGAAUAAUAGAAUAGGGACGUGUGGUUCUAUUUUGUUGGUUUCUAGGACCGCCGUAAUGAUUAAUAGGGACAGUCGUGGGCAUCAGUAUUCA
This 820-nucleotide ribosomal RNA is filed under the name Parascedosporium putredinis. RNAcentral's name for it is "SSU rRNA". It matches the Rfam family "Eukaryotic small subunit ribosomal RNA", at positions 72 to 900 of the family's 1831-position model. Lineage: Eukaryota; Fungi; Ascomycota; Sordariomycetes; Microascales; Microascaceae. The record is from RNAcentral.